This 85-nucleotide transfer RNA is filed under the name Felis catus (domestic cat). It matches the Rfam family "tRNA". Rfam says of the family: Transfer RNA (tRNA) molecules are approximately 80 nucleotides in length. Their secondary structure includes four short double-helical elements and three loops (D, anti-codon, and T loops). Lineage: Eukaryota; Metazoa; Chordata; Mammalia; Carnivora; Felidae. The record is from Rfam by way of RNAcentral. RNAcentral also lists the same sequence under 2 other names.
ACCUGGGUGGCUCAGUUGGUUGAGCGUUUGACUUUGGCUCAGGUCAUGAUCUCACGGUUCAUGGGUUCAAGCCCCAUAUCAGGUG